UGGGGAAUCUUGCGCAAUGGGCGGAAGCCUGACGCAGCGACGCCGCGUGGGGGAUGACGGCCUUCGGGUUGUAAACCUCUUUCGCCAGGGACGAAGCUUUAUUGUGACGGUACCUGGAAAAGAAGCACCGGCCAACUACGUGCCAGCAGCCGCGGUAACACGUAGGGUGCGAGCGUUGUCCGGAUUUAUUGGGCGUAAAGAGCUCGUAGGCGGUGUGUCACGUCGAUCGUGAAAACUUGGGGCUUAACUCUGAGCGUGCGGUCGAUACGGGCAUCACUUGAGUUCGGCAGGGGAGUCUGGAAUUCCUGGUGUAGCGGUGAAAUGCGCAGAUAUCAGGAGGAAUACCGGUGGCGAAGGCGGGUCUCUGGGCCGAUACUGACGCUGAGGAGCGAAAGCAUGGGGAGCGAACAGGAUUAGAUACCCUGGUAGUCCAUGCCGUAAACG
This 444-nucleotide ribosomal RNA is filed under the name uncultured bacterium. Its description in RNAcentral is "bacterial SSU rRNA". It matches the Rfam family "Bacterial small subunit ribosomal RNA", at positions 355 to 808 of the family's 1533-position model. The record is from RNAcentral.